GAUGAAGAACGUAGCGAAAUGCGAUAAGUAGUGUGAAUUGCAGAAUUCAGUGAAUCAUCGAAUCUUUGAACGCACAUUGCGCCCUUUGGUAUUCCAAAGGGCAUGCCUGUUCGAGCGUCAUUUGUACCCUCAAGCUUUGUUUGGUGUUGGGCGUCUUGUCUCUAGCUUUGCUGGAGACUCGCCUUAAAGUAAUUGGCAGCCGGCCUACUGGUUUCGGAGCGCAGCACAAGUCGCACUCUCUAUCAGCAAAGGUCUAGCAUCCAUUAAGCCUUUUUUUCAACUUUUGACCUCGGAUCAGGUAGGGAUACCCGCUGAACUUAAGCAUAUCAAUAAGCGGAGGA
RNAcentral lists this unclassified non-coding RNA (341 nucleotides) under soil metagenome. Its description in RNAcentral is "partial contains 5.8S ribosomal RNA, internal transcribed spacer 2, and large subunit ribosomal RNA". The stretch from base 1 to 120 matches the Rfam family "5.8S ribosomal RNA", at positions 35 to 154 of the family's 154-position model. The record is from RNAcentral.